CCCCUCAUUUGUUUAUUUUUUAAGCAGGCUUCACACCCAGCAUGGAGCCCAAUGCGGGGCUCAAUCACACGACCCUGAGACCAUGACCUGGGCCAAGAUCAAGAGUCAGAUACUUAACCGACUGAACCACCCAGGUGCCCUGAGAAUGCUUUUUUAAUACCUUCUCAAACAAAACGAACCAUUUCUUUGUUUAUUACAGCUCUAUUCACAAUUGUCAAGAUGUGGCAAUGUCCACUAAUUGUCCUAAAUGUCCAUUGACAGAUGACUGAAUAAAGAAAAUUUGGGGGGGUGCCUGGGUGGCUCAGUCAUUGGGCGUCUGCCUUCGGCGCGGGUCCUGGUCCCAAGGUCCUGGGAUCAAGCCCCACAUUGGGCUCCCUGCUCAGUGGGGAGCCUGCUUCUCCCUCUCCCACUUCCCCUGCUUGUGUUCCCUCUCUUGCUCUCUCUCUGUCAAACAAAUAAAAUUUAAAAAAAAAGGAAAUUUGGUAUAAAUACAAUGGUGUAUUGUUCAGCCUUAAAAAAGAAAAAUUCUUCAAUAUGUGAUAAUAUGGAUGAACUUUUUAUAAAUAAAAUAUAAAUUUGUUUUAAAGAUUUUAUUUUUAAGUAAUUUCUAUAUCCAACACAGAGCUUGAAUUUACAAUCCUGAGAUCAAGAGUAGCACACUUGGGGUGUCUGGGUGGCUCAGUCAUUAAGCAUCUGCCUUUGUCCUGGGAUCGAGCCCCGCAAUGGGCUCCUGCUCAGCGGAAAGCCUACUUCUCCCUCUCCCACUCCCCCUGCUGUGUUCCUGCUCUCGCUGUGUCUCUCUCUGUCAAAUAAAUAAAUAAAAUCUUUAAAAAAAAAAAAAAAGAGUUGCACACUCUACCGACUGAGCCAGCCAGGCACCCCAACAUGGAUGAACUUUAAGGACAUUGUGCUAAAUGAAAUAAACCAAUCACAGAAGUAUAAAUAUUGCAUGAUUCCACUUAUAUGAGUUAUCUGAAAUCAAAUGUAUGGAAUCAAAGAGUGGAAUGGCACUUGCCCCUGGCUGGAGGGAGAGGGAAAUGGGGAGUUACUAAUCAACAGGCAUAAUAUUUCAGUUAAGCAAAGUAAGUCCUAGAGGUUUUCUGUACAAUUUUGGAUCUAUAGUCAAUAAUAUUGUACUGUACUCUUAAAAAAUUUGUUAAGAGUGUAGAUCUCAUGUUAAGUGUUUUACCACAACAAAAUAAAAUAAUAAAAUCUUAAAUUAUUGCCAAAUAAAAAAGACCAGCUUCAGAAUCUGUGUUCCCAAAGUAUAGCGUUUACACCUUUGUCAUUUAUCAUAGUCUGACUUGUAUAGUGACGGGGUAAACAUGUCCUCACAAAUGCUUAGUACAUCUUCUUGAAAGCAUCUUGUUGAAUAAUGAAGGGAUAAAUCCUUGCAAUAACUAGAUUCUGUUAUCUGUGUAUGAAAGCAUUUUGUAGUAGGUACAGUCAGUGAUAAGAUUAUUAAGCCUGGUUUUUGAACCUAUUUACCUUAUGAGACAUAGAAGGACAUUAAUCUCAUUAUUUAUAAACCUGUCUUUAAAACAGCAUUACUCAGUCUGAUUACUCACUUUGUUUAUCAAAUUAGGUUCUAAAUGGCUUUGAUCUUUUUUCAAUCAUAUAUUCAUCUGGAAAGCAUGAAGAUUUGCCACCACCUAGGUUAUUAAAAUGAAUUGUGUCAUAUGACCCUGGACUUAAUUACAGUUCUGUUCCGUUCUGUUCAGUAAGCACUUAUUGAGUUAGCAGCUCUGUAGGUAGCUGCAGAUGGAGAUGAGUGAUACAUGGCUCCUGCCUUUGAGAAGCUCACAGGCUAAUAUGGAAAACAUAGAUAAACACACCAACACUAUACUCAUCAUGAUAAGGGCAAUAAUAAGGGAAAGAGGUAGGACCCCCCCCCCCAAAAUGAUUAAUUCUCUCUUAGGUUGCUAGUGAUGUGAUGAUAAGGAAAAAGUUUUCAGAGAAUGCAUCCCUCAAGCUAGGGUCUUGAGGAAUUGGAACUUUUUCAAUGGUUGGGUGAAGGUUUCAGGGAGGAGGACACUUGUCUCAAGGGAAGUGGUUUAGAGGAAACCGUUGGAGGGGAAUGAAUAGCAAUGAGUCGAGAGCUUGGCCAUGAAGGUCUCAUUUUUCAUGUUUGGACUUGAUUCUGUGAGUCCUAAAGGAUUCCAAGUGAAGAAUUAUAAAAUUAUUUGGAGUAAUGACAGCAGGAUUGAGUUAAGUGUGUGCCUGCUAAGGGUACUACUUUGGAGGGCCCACACUCAUUCAAGUAUUUAAGUUUUGGUAUAUUUAUUUUGAAAAAUCAGGCUACAGCACUUUAGAUCUUAUUUCAUAAAUGUAUGUUUUUAAAAAGGGUAAUUUCUUACCCUAAGGCUUUCAUUUAUUUUACAAAUAUUUGUUGAGCUCUUACCAUGUAUCAGACACUCUUCUGUGUACUUGGGAAACAUCAGUGAGCAAAAUAGACAAAGAUGCCUGUCCUCAUGCAUUGUGUAUUCUAGUUUUCUUAAUCCAUAGUCGGUGUUGAGGAUUUGGGUGAACACACUAUGCAGAUAUUUGGGUGGGAAGGGGACAGUGAAGUUAAAGCACAGUAAGUAACUGCUCUUCCCCUCUUCCCUAAGGAACUCCUUCCUGAGAGGUAUGCUUUUAGGAGGGUGUUGAGGUGAAAAAAGUGUGGCAAGCCAGGAGGUCAGGGGCUACAAUAGGCAUUUGCUUUUUCUCCUAACCACCUCAUCAGUGAUUUAAAAAAAAAAAAAGUCCUUGUUGUUGUUAGAACAGUUUGAGAUGUGCAGAAUAAUUGAGAAGAUAGUAUAGAGAAUUCUCAUGUAACCUUACCCAGUUUCCCCUAUUUUAACACCUUACGUUAUUAGUAUGGUGCCUUUGUUACAAUUAAUGAACCAAUGUCGAUACUAUUAUUAUUCACUUAAGUUCUUACUUUAUUCAGAUCUCAUUAGUUUUUACCUAAUGUCUUUUUUCCUGUUCCAGGAUUCCACCCAGAAUGCCUCAUUAAAUUUAGGGGGUGCCUGGGUGGCUCAGUUGGUUAAGCAUCUGCCUUCGGCUCAGGUCAUGAUCUCAGGGGUCCUGGGAUCGAGCCCUGCAUCAAGGCUCCCUGCUCAGUGGGGAGUCUGCUUGUCCCUCUCCCUCUGCUGCUCCCCCUGCUUGUGCUCUCUCUCAAGUAAAUAAAUAAAAUCUUAAAAGAAAAAAAAAAAGAAUGCCUCAUUAAAUUUAGUAGCCAUCUCUUAGGCUCCCCUUGGCUGGAGAGUUUUUCAGCUUUCCUAGUUUUAGAGAGUUUUGAGGAGUACUAGUGAGGCAUUUUGUAGAAUGUCCUUCCAUUGGGAUUUACUUUAUGUUUUUCUCAUGAUGAGAUUGGGGUAUAGUUUUUUGGAAGGUAGACCACAGAUGUGCAGUACCAUUCUUAUGACAUCAUAUUGAGGGUCCAUGCUGCCAUCAUGACUUACCACUGUUGGUGUUGACCUUGGUCACUUUGCUGAGCUAGUGUCUGUCAGUUUCUUCACAGAGAAGUUACUUCUGCUCCUCCAUUUCCACGCUGUCCUCUGGAAAGGAAGUCACUGUGAGCAGCCCACACUUAAGGAGUAGGGAGUUAUGCUUCACCUCCGUUAGGACGGAAUAGCUACAUAAAUUCCUUGGACUUCUGCACAAGAAAUUUGUCUCUUCUCCCCCACUUAUUUAUUUAUCAUCAGUGAUUUUUUUUUUUUACAAUUACCAUGAAUCACAUACUCCGUAAACAGAUACUGAAUGCCUACUAUAUGCAAGGCAUUAACAACACAUUUUUAAAAAGAUUUAUUUAAGAGAGAGAGUGCAUGGGCAUGUGCGUGCACAAGUGGGGGAGGGGCAGAAAGAGAGGGAGAAGGACAGAAUCUCAAGGACUCCCUGCUGAGCACAUAGCCCCAUAAGGGGAUCGAUCCCAUCAUCCUGAGAUCACUACCAUGACCAUGAUCAUGAUCUUGAUCAAAAUCAGGAGUCAGUUGCUUAACUGACUGGACCACCCAGGUGCCCUCUAAUAACACAUUUUUACUGAACAAUAUUUAUUUUGGUUUUCUCAGAAACAACUACCUAGAAAUGGAGAAAUCUGAUUUCCUGCUUUGCCUCUGACAUUACCUUCCUAGGAGGUUUCGUGCAAGUAAUUUCACACCCAAGCCUCAGUGUCUUCUUUUGGAAAAUUAGAUGGUUGAAAGGGGUUAAUUCGAACAUUUUUUUUCCAGGUUUAAAAUUGUAGGAUUAUAUAAUAUAUUCAAAGAAACAGGCUUCAAGUUGUCUGCAGAAGGGAAUUAUUAAUAUCUGCCGUGGGCUGGCCCACCUCAAAUGAAAUCUGUGUGUAAAAUCUUCCUUGUCUCUUGCCUCAGGGAAUGUAUCUUUUGUCUGGUAUAUUUUCUUAUGACUCAGAGUUAAAAUAUAUAUACACAAUGAAAAUAUCAAAUGGAUGAAGUUAACCUUGUUAGUAGUAUGUUUUAUGACCAAAAAAAGCCAGACUAUUAGCAAAUGACUGAUUUAUGGGCUUAAUAGAAACCACCGCCUAUGGAAAAAGUAACAUGGAAUAAAAACAAAGCAAAGGAGUUUGGAAUUUAUUCUAAUCCCAGAUUGAGGUGGUAGAGUCAAGGAAAGGCUCUUGUGGACUCUUCCUCACUGUUAUCUCUGUUGGGAAUAAGAUAAACAAGAAAAAGUGAGAAAAGCUGAUGAAACCUGAGGAUGAGAAGCACUGUUUAGGUUUGAGAGAAGAAUAUAAACAUUCAUUACUUGCUUCUUAGAAUGUUCCUCUUUGGCCGAAAGGAAGGAGGCUCUAGGGGGAGGUCUCAGGAUAGAGUGCCAGUUGGCUCUUGGCUUCAUUUUAGGAAAAAGGGGAAGUCACUUUUUUCUACUCCUGCCCUUUGCAAACUUAAUCAGGCUUUCUUGGGCAGCUGGAGCCUUUCUUUUCACUGAUGAAUGUCUUUUAAUGCUUUUCUUGCCAAUGCUAUUAUGAAUGUUCUUUCCAGUGUUUUCUGGGAAGAUUUAUUCUUGUAAAUUCAAUAGUUGUCAAGGUAAAUUGUAGUCUAAUGUAAUUUAAAGACCCAAAGACCCCAGGCCUGGCCUUGCCCCAUGCUCCCUUCCUAUUGCCAGUUUUACUUCUUUGGGCAUGUCUGGUACCAUCCCCAAGCUACAGUUCCUCCUGCUGGACACAAGGAACACUUUACCUGCCUAUUCCCGAAUGACAGAGAUGGCCUCUGGAGGUCUCUUCCAAGUCUGUGUUUCCUGGAGCGGCAGAUCCAAAGCUCUUAAGGUCAGUGCUGAGGUGAGUCAACCAGUGUCAAGUUUUCAGAGCAUCUAGGACAUGCAAAGUGCUAUACUAAGCAUUAUUGAGGAGAGGUAAGUCAACUAGAGUCCCCAGGAACUUAACAGUUUUUUAUGGGAAACACAUUUAGAACAAGUCUAAUCCAAAGCAGCCUAGAUGAAGGCUGCAGCGGGAGGAUUCUGCCCUCUCCCCUGCAGACUCAGCGGCUCUACUAUGCUGGAAGCAGGGAGCGAUAGAGGUGGGGAAGGGAGAGGAGGAGAUACUGCAAGGAGCGCUGAGUGAUGCAUAUUUUUCCGUUUGGCAAUAGUUGUGGGGACACAGAAAGGUGACUCCAACCCCUUAACACCAGCAUAGGCCUUUUUCAGCUUUGUUUUUCUGUCCCGUGGCCUCCAGGCUCAAAAGCAGCAGCUGCAGGAGGAAGACUGAAGAGAAGGGGCUGAGGAAGUCCCUGGCAUGUCUCUCUGUGUCAGGAGCAUGUCAGUGUCUCUCAGCCAGAGUCGGCAAAUGGGUGGUGCCCCACUAUGGGCCUGUGAAGAAGAGGCCUUCUGUGCUGAUGAGGAGUAAAUUGGCCCAUGACUGCGUGGGAGGGGUGGGUGUGAAUGAGACAGGCUGUCAGCUAAGGGCUCUGAGGCAGGGCACCUGGUCUCUCUAGGUAGACGGGGUGAGGGGAAGGGGCAGGCAUCAGGCACAGGGCUAGGUGAUUUUCCUGACGACUAAUUUAUUUAUUCUGCAUGAGAUUGGUGUUAAUAUUCCCAUUGUACUGAUGUAAAAACAGGAGGUUUCUGAGGCCUUAAAUAAUUUACCUUAGUUCCCAGAGUUAAGGACAAAGCCAGGAUUAAAAACGGGACCUGUGUAAAUCCAUAACCCACACUUUUUCUGUUGCCCACAGUGCCUUCUGUGAUGACCUAUUCUGUAUUAUUCGAGUGAUGCCUGAACAGCCCUCUCAAUCCUGGAACGGGAAGGCCAAUGGGGGAGUUUCUUCCAUCUAUCUACCUGAUGUGCAGUAGCAGUUCCAUUAUGGGACAUUCAUUUUUUUAAGGAAGUCCAGGAAGUCAAAGGAAGUGUUUACUGUUUGAAUGGAAAAACAGGGAGGUAUCUUCAAUGACAGCCAAAAUGAGAAGCAAUUAUAGAAGUCCUGUGCUCAUGAAAUAAAAACAUUUCACAACUGCCUUGUUUCUCUUCCACACUGAGAAAUUAAGUUUGAAAACUGACGUAAAUAUUGGUAAUGCUGCUUUGAUGAACCUGAAUUCCUCACAGUGAGGUUAAUGAGGCAAUGAUGAAAAAUAAACAUUAUCUAAGCUGCCAGCAAAGGGAGGGUGAGAGGAUUCCUUCGGCUCGCAAUGGUCACAUGUUUGUAAACUCGGACUGCUCAUGGAAGAGAUGGUGUAUUUGGUCCAGAGUGAGAACUUCCAAAAGAAACGAGGAAGUGAUCCAGAUGACACGACAUGCAUGCAGUCCUAUACCUUACCCUUUGCCCAGCUGCACUGGUCUACUAGCUGGUCCUUACAUAGUCUCCUCUGAAGAGUCUCCAAAUAUGCUAUUCCUACUGGUCAGGAUGCCCUCUUACCCAUUCACAAGUUCUGCCUGGUCCCUGAGGCCUUCCCUGGAGAAUGCAUCUUUGUGGAUAAUUUCACUCACUGCCCAGUCAGAUUAAGACCUUCCACUGCACAUAAUGACAUUUUCCCUGGACUGUUGCUUCUGUGAACAACAUUGUGACAGCUUAUAUUUAAAAGGCUCCUGCAGCUGGGCAAUGUAACCUGCUCUGUGUCAGCCAAGUAGACGGUGCUGCCCUGGGUGGAGCUUCGCAACCAGUGUGCUGUCCCACCGCAGUAGACCUGGCCUAGGUCAUAGGACGUUGAGGGUGAGUGUGAACCAGUUGGGCCCUUUGUUGGACACAGAUAUUCCUGGAAAGGUCACAAAGUAUAAAAUUUAGAGCUUGAAGGGGCUUUGAAGAUGCUUCAUCAUACCACGAGAAAGCUGAAGUGAAAUGACUUGAAAGCUCAUGAAGUUACCUAAUGGAAGAAUCUCAGAACUGUGCUCUUCCAAUGUUUCCCAUCAUUAAAAAGAAAAGGAAUUCACUGGAAUUCCAUCAGAUCAGCUGCUUGUGCGGAGUAAAUAGAAGAGGCUCAGAAGCAGACGUUGAAUUCCUGCUGAAACUGGUUAGAGAUUGAGACCAAGAGAUUGUAUAAAACAACAAAAGCGGCCAAUGGAAAGACCACGCAAAUAUUGAGUCAAUGAUUAAAAGGAGCCUUAGGAAGAAGCCUGUGAAUAUUCUUAAUUAUUAUCAGGUCUCUAGGACUUUGUGUACUUUCACUGAACUUGACAAUGAACAAGAAGCUGAUUGCUUGCGAUACAGAGCUCUCUUGACAAAGCUAAGUUGAUUUCCCCCCCUCUUUUAAUAAAACAGUUUUUUUCAUGUUUGGAACCAUAACACUUCUCUAACACCCUGUUUGAU
Molecule: long non-coding RNA, 7730 nt
Organism: Mirounga angustirostris (Northern elephant seal)
Lineage: Eukaryota; Metazoa; Chordata; Mammalia; Carnivora; Phocidae
Exons: 7
Source: RefSeq, a predicted model, not a curated record